This 486-nucleotide ribosomal RNA is filed under the name uncultured bacterium. RNAcentral describes it as "bacterial SSU rRNA". It matches the Rfam family "Bacterial small subunit ribosomal RNA", at positions 28 to 507 of the family's 1533-position model. The record is from RNAcentral.
GAUGAACGCUAGCUACAGGCUUAACACAUGCAAGUCGAGGGGCAGCGCAGUGUAGCAAUACAUGGGCGGCGACCGGCGCACGGGUGCGUAACGCGUAUCCAACCUUCCCGUUACUCAGGGAUAGCCUUCCGAAAGGGAGAUUAAUACCUGAUGGUGUUCAAAUUCCGCAUGUUAUUUGAACUAAAGAUUUAUCGGUAACGGAUGGGGAUGCGUGACAUUAGAUAGUAGGCGGGGUAACGGCCCACCUAGUCUACGAUGUCUAGGGGUUCUGAGAGGAAGGUCCCCCACACUGGAACUGAGACACGGUCCAGACUCCUACGGGAGGCAGCAGUGAGGAAUAUUGGUCAAUGGUCGGAAGACUGAACCAGCCAAGUCGCGUGAGGGAAGACUGCCCUAUGGGUUGUAAACCUCUUUAGUCGGGGAGCAAAAAAGCGGACGUGUCCGCCAUUGAGCGUACCCGAAGAAUAAGCAUCGGCUAACUCCGUG